Molecule: long non-coding RNA, 1045 nt
Filed under: Salmo salar (Atlantic salmon)
Lineage: Eukaryota; Metazoa; Chordata; Actinopteri; Salmoniformes; Salmonidae
Description: lncRNA (ENSSSAG00000105160.1, ENSSSAG00020081966.1)
Source: RNAcentral
GUUGUCUAAUGUUGGUGAGGGUAUAUUUAUCUGUUUUAUUGUUACUCCUUAAUCACUAUAUAUAAUCGUUUUUCAUGUGUACUUUUAACAGAGCUCAGAUUGAAGUGCAAAAAUGUAGCAAUACAGGUGAAAUCAGUAAAAAACAAACAAACAUGGUGACAUAGCAGGAAGAUAGGAAUGCCGUGAACCAAGAGGUUGUGAGUUCAAAUCCCAGGGGGUGAAUCGGCAAGACAAUAGUUUAACUGCCUUUGAACGGGGUAUGGUAGUAGGUGUCAAGUGCACCGGUUUGUGUCAAGAACUGCAACGCUGCUGGGUUUUUCACACUCAAGAGUUUCCAGUGUGUAUCAUGAAUGGUCCACCACCCAAAGAUGACCCAAAGGACAUCCAGCCAACUUUACACAACUGUUGGAAGCAUUGGAGUCAACAUGGGCCAGCAUCCCUGUGGAAACCUUUCAACACCUCAGACUCCAUGCCCUGACGAAUUGAGGCUUUUCUGAGGGCAAAAGGUGUUCCUAAUGUUUGGUAAACUCAGUGACCCAAAGGGCUUGAAUCUUUGGUGACGUAGUGUCCCCAUGAGUGACAGAACGCUGAGCCAAUCACGACGCAACGCUCCUAUUUUCAGCUGGCUUUCCCCAACACCACAGAAAGCACUGAGCUAGGCUGAAACACCUGCAUUUCGGAGCUGCCUUACUCAAGAAAACAAAGAGACCAUGUUUGUAUGACCAUGUUUUUUUUUACAUUGUUUGCAAACUGAUAUGUGAUUCGUAUUAAUGCCAAAAUGUUUAUGAGUUGCACGUGCUGUAAUCAAUGAUGAGUAUAAACCCUGGAUGACUGAUAUGGGCGCUGUAUUGAAGCGCCACAUUUUGGUACUCCUCGUCCGUUGUAAAAAGAAAUAUUUUGGAAGCCAUGGAAAUGCAUUCGUUUUUGACUAGUACAUUCUAUUACAAACACAUUAAUGCAUAUUAUGUGAACUGAACAUAAACAUUUUAUAUUUAUGGAAACCUAUUCCUUAAAGUAUUUUUUGAGAGUACUUAUGUUACUGUCC